UAAUGUACUCAGGUGAAUAUGAUGCUUGUGAUGUUACUCUGAGUAUAUAUAUACUCAGAGUAACAUCACAAGCAUCAUAUUCACCUGAGUAC
This 92-nucleotide microRNA precursor is filed under the name Paramuricea clavata. The record is from RNAcentral. Lineage: Eukaryota; Metazoa; Cnidaria; Anthozoa; Malacalcyonacea; Plexauridae.